AUUGAACGCUGGCGGCAUGCUUUACACAUGCAAGUCGAACGGUAACAGGUUAAGCUGACGAGUGGCGAACGGGUGAGUAAUGCAUCGGAACGUGCCCGGUCGUGGGGGAUAACGCAGCGAAAGCUGCGCUAAUACCGCAUACGAUCUGAGGAUGAAAGCGGGGGACCGUAAGGCCUCGCGCGAUCGGAGCGGCCGAUGUCAGAUUAGGUAGUUGGUGGGGUAAAGGCUCACCAAGCCGACGAUCUGUAGCUGGUCUGAGAGGACGACCAGCCAGACGGGAACGGAGACACGGCCGAGACUCCUACGGGAGGCAGCAGUGGGGAAUUUUGGACAAUGGGCGAAAGCCUGAUCCAGCAAUGCCGGGUGCAGGAAGAAGGCCUUCAGGUUGUAAACUGCUUUUGUACGGAGCGAAAAGGCUCUCUCUAAUACAGGGGGCUCAUGACGGUACCGUAAGAAUAAGCACCGGCUAACUACGUGCCAGCCGCCGCAGUAA
Molecule: ribosomal RNA, 493 nt
Filed under: uncultured bacterium
Lineage: Bacteria
Description: partial 16S ribosomal RNA
Rfam family: Bacterial small subunit ribosomal RNA
Source: RNAcentral